This 492-nucleotide ribosomal RNA is filed under the name uncultured bacterium. RNAcentral's name for it is "partial 16S ribosomal RNA". It matches the Rfam family "Bacterial small subunit ribosomal RNA", at positions 30 to 507 of the family's 1533-position model. The record is from RNAcentral.
AUUGAACGCUGGCGGCAUGCUUUACACAUGCAAGUCGAACGGUAACAGGCCUUCGGGUGCUGACGAGUGGCGAACGGGUGAGUAAUGCAUCGGAACGUACCCAGAGGUGGGGGAUAACGCAGCGAAAGCUGUGCUAAUACCGCAUGUGAUCUGAGGAUGAAAGCGGGGGACCGAGCAGCAAUGUUUGGCCUCGCGCCUUUGGAGCGGCCGAUUUCGGAUUAGCUAGUUGGUGGGGUAAAGGCCUACCAAGGCGACGAUCCGUAGCUGGUCUGAGAGGACGACCAGCCACACUGGGACUGAGACACGGCCCAGACUCCUACGGGAGGCAGCAAUGGGGAAUUUUGGACAAUGGGCGCAAGCCUGAUCCAGCAAUGCCGCGUGCGGGAAGAAGGCCUUCGGGUUGUAAACCGCUUUUGGCAGGAACGAAACGGUGUCCGCUAAUACCGGGCGCUAAUGACGGUACCUGCAGAAUAAGCACCGGCUAACUACGUG